Molecule: long non-coding RNA, 209 nt
Filed under: Elaeis guineensis (African oil palm)
Lineage: Eukaryota; Viridiplantae; Streptophyta; Magnoliopsida; Arecales; Arecaceae
Description: long non-coding RNA (EGUI_LNC023683)
Source: RNAcentral
UUUGAAUAUAUUUGAUUGGAGAGAGCUAGACGGUGUGUUGUCCGUGCCACACUCCCUUGAUGCAUGAGUCCACCGAUGCUUCGGCAUAAUGCACAAUGUCACUCGAGCAUCGGUGGAUAUGUAAGGGCCCAUAUCUAGAGUAUCCGAGUAGACGCCACUGCCAACGGCGCAUCGCCGUUACUAAUGUGGCCACAUCAACGAACUCAACA